Molecule: ribosomal RNA, 301 nt
Filed under: uncultured bacterium
Lineage: Bacteria
Description: partial 16S ribosomal RNA
Rfam family: Archaeal small subunit ribosomal RNA
Source: RNAcentral
CAGUAGCCGCGGGAAUACCAGCAGCCCAAGUGGUGGUCGCGUUUAUUGGGCCUAAAGCGCUCGUAGCCUGACCGGUAAGUUCCCCGUGAAAUCGGGUCGCCCAACGAUUCGGCUUGCGGGGAAUACUGUCGGUCUUGGGGCCGGGAGACGCCGAGGGUACUCCGGGGGUAGCGGUGAAAUGCUGUAAUCCUCGGGGGACUACCAGUGGCGAAGGCGCUCGGCGAUAACGGGCCUGACGGUGAGGGGCGAAAGCUGGGGGCGCGAACGGGAUUAGAUACCCCAGUAGUCCCUGUCUCUUAUU